CCGUGCUAUCCUGAACACAUCUGAUCUCAGAAGCUGACCAGGGUCAGGCCUGGUUAGUACUUGGAUGGGAGAUCAUGGGAUUAGAAUUCAGAAGAAAAAAAAA
RNAcentral lists this ribosomal RNA (103 nucleotides) under Nomascus leucogenys (northern white-cheeked gibbon). The record is from RNAcentral. Lineage: Eukaryota; Metazoa; Chordata; Mammalia; Primates; Hylobatidae.